RNAcentral lists this ribosomal RNA (253 nucleotides) under uncultured bacterium. RNAcentral's name for it is "partial 16S ribosomal RNA". It matches the Rfam family "Bacterial small subunit ribosomal RNA", at positions 524 to 776 of the family's 1533-position model. The record is from RNAcentral.
UACGUAGGGGGCAAGCGUUGUCCGGAUUUAUUGGGCGUAAAGAGCGUGUAGGCGGCCAGGUAGGUGGGUUGUGAAAACUGGAGGCUCAACCUUCGGACGUCGACCCAAACCCCCUGGCUAGAGUCCGGAAGAGGAGAGUGGAAUUCCUGGUGUAGCGGUGAAAUGCGCAGAUAUCAGGAAGAACACCCGUGGCGAAGGCGGCUCUCUGGGACGGUACUGACGCUGAGACGCGAAAGCGUGGGGAGCGAACAGG